This 92-nucleotide small nuclear RNA is filed under the name Octodon degus (degu). The record is from RNAcentral. Lineage: Eukaryota; Metazoa; Chordata; Mammalia; Rodentia; Octodontidae.
GUUUGUUUCGACAGGACAUAUACUAAAGUUGGAAUGAUACACAGAAGAUUAGCAUGGCCCCUCCACAAAUUUGUAAAGUGUUCCAUAUUUAC